AUGCAUGUCUAAGUAUAAGCAAUUAUACGGCGAAACUGCGAAUGGCUCAUUAUAUAAGUUAUCGUUUAUUUGAUAGUACCUUACUACUUGGAUAACCGUGGUAAUUCUAGAGCUAAUACAUGCAAAUCAAUCCCGACUUCGGAAGGGAUGUAUUUAUUAGAUUAAAAACCAAUGCCCUCUGGGCUCUCUGGUGAUUCAUGAUAACUGCUCGAAUCGCAUGGCCUUGCGCCGGCGAUGGCUCAUUCAAAUUUCUUCCCUAUCAACUUUCGAUGUUUGGGUAGUGGCCAAACAUGGUUGCAACGGGUAACGGAGGGUUAGGGCUCGACCCCGGAGAAGGAGCCUGAGAAACGGCUACUACAUCCAAGGAAGGCAGCAGGCGCGCAAAUUACCCAAUCCCGAUACGGGGAGGUAGUGACAAUAAAUACUGAUACAGGGCUCUUUUGGGUCUUGUAAUUGGAAUGAGUACAAUUUAAAUCCCUUAACGAGGAACAAUUGGAGGGCAAGUCUGGUGCCAGCAGCCGCGGUAAUUCCAGCUCCAAUAGCGUAUAUUAAAGUUGUUGUGGUUAAAAAGCUCGUAGUUGAACCUUGGGCCUGGCUGGCCGGUCCGCCUCACCGCGUGCACUGGUCCGGCCGGGCCUUUCCCUCUGUGGAACCCCAUGCCCUUCACUGGGUGUGGCGGGGAAGCAGGACUUUUACUUUGAAAAAAUUAGAGUGCUCUAAGCAGGCCAAUGCUCGAAUACAUUAGCAUGGAAUAAUGAAAUAGGACGCGCGGUUCUAUUUUGUUGGUUUCUAGGACCGCCGUAAUGAUUAAUAGGGACAGUCGGGGGCAUCAGUAUUCAAUUGUCAGAGGUGAAAUUCUUGGAUCAUUUGAAGACUAACUACUGCGAAAGCAUUUGUCAAGGAUGUUUUCAUUAAUCAGGAACGAAAGUUAGGGGAUCGAAGACGAUCAGAUACCGUCGUAGUCUUAACCAUAAACUAUGCCGACUAGGGAUCGGACGAUGUUAUUUUUUGACUCGUUCGGCACCUUACGAGAAAUCAAAGUGCUUGGGCUCC
Molecule: ribosomal RNA, 1053 nt
Filed under: Drechmeria coniospora
Lineage: Eukaryota; Fungi; Ascomycota; Sordariomycetes; Hypocreales; Ophiocordycipitaceae
Description: SSU rRNA
Rfam family: Eukaryotic small subunit ribosomal RNA
Source: RNAcentral